AGAGUUUGAUCCUGGCUCAGGACGAACGCUGGCGGCGUGCCUAAUACAUGCAAGUAGAACGCUGAAGAAAGGAGCUUGCUUCUUUUGGAUGAGUUGCGAACGGGUGAGUAACGCGUAGGUAACCUGCCUUGUAGCGGGGGAUAACUAUUGGAAACGAUAGCUAAUACCGCAUAACAGCUUUUGACACAUGUUAGAAGCUUGAAAGAUGCAAUUGCAUCACUACGAGAUGGACCUGCGUUGUAUUAGCUAGUAGGUAGGGUAACGGCCUACCUAGGCGACGAUACAUAGCCGACCUGAGAGGGUGAUCGGCCACACUGGGACUGAGACACGGCCCAGACUCCUACGGGAGGCAGCAGUAGGGAAUCUUCGGCAAUGGGGGCAACCCUGACCGAGCAACGCCGCGUGAGUGAAGAAGGUUUUCGGAUCGUAAAGCUCUGUUGUAAGAGAAGAACGUGUGUGAGAGUGGAAAGUUCACACAGUGACGGUAACUUACCAGAAAGGGACGGCUAACUACGUGCCAGCAGCCGCGGUAAUACGUAGGUCCCGAGCGUUGUCCGGAUUUAUUGGGCGUAAAGCGAGCGCAGGCGGUUUAAUAAGUCUGAAGUUAAAGGCAGUGGCUUAACCAUUGUUCGCUUUGGAAACUGUUAAACUUGAGUGCAGAAGGGGAGAGUGGAAUUCCAUGUGUAGCGGUGAAAUGCGUAGAUAUAUGGAGGAACACCGGUGGCGAAAGCGGCUCUCUGGUCUGUAACUGACGCUGAGGCUCGAAAGCGUGGGGAGCAAACAGGAUUAGAUACCCUGGUAGUCCACGCCGUAACGAUGAGUGCUAGUGUUAGGCCCUUUCCGGGGCUUAGUGCCGCAGCUAACGCAUUAGCACUCCGCCUGGGGAGUACGACCGCAAGGUGAAACUCAAAGGAAUUGACGG
RNAcentral lists this ribosomal RNA (922 nucleotides) under uncultured bacterium. Its description in RNAcentral is "bacterial SSU rRNA". It matches the Rfam family "Bacterial small subunit ribosomal RNA", at positions 8 to 916 of the family's 1533-position model. The record is from RNAcentral.